RNAcentral lists this ribosomal RNA (431 nucleotides) under uncultured bacterium. RNAcentral's name for it is "bacterial SSU rRNA". It matches the Rfam family "Bacterial small subunit ribosomal RNA", at positions 29 to 506 of the family's 1533-position model. The record is from RNAcentral.
ACGAACGCUGGCGGCAUGCCUAAUACAUGCAAGUCGAACGAACACUUCGGUGUUAGUGGCGCACGGGUGCGUAACGCGUGGGAAUCUGCCCUUGGGUUCGGAAUAACUUCGGGAAACUGAAGCUAAUACCGGAUGAUGACGUAAGUCCAAAGAUUUAUCGCCCAAGGAUGAGCCCGCGUAGGAUUAGCUAGUUGGUGAGGUAAAGGCUCACCAAGGCUACGAUCCUUAGCUGGUCUGAGAGGAUGAUCAGCCACACUGGGACUGAGACACGGCCCAGACUCCUACGGGAGGCAGCAGUAGGGAAUAUUGGACAAUGGGCGAAAGCCUGAUCCAGCAAUGCCGCGUGAGCGAUGAAGGCCUUAGGGUUGUAAAGCUCUUUUGCCCGGGAUGAUAAUGACGGUACCGGGAGAAUAAGCCCCGGCUAACUCCGU